This 491-nucleotide ribosomal RNA is filed under the name uncultured bacterium. Its description in RNAcentral is "partial 16S ribosomal RNA". It matches the Rfam family "Bacterial small subunit ribosomal RNA", at positions 29 to 507 of the family's 1533-position model. The record is from RNAcentral.
AGUGAACGCUGGCGGUAGGCCUAACACAUGCAAGUCGAACGGCAGCACAGUAAGAGCUUGCUCUUACGGGUGGCGAGUGGCGGACGGGUGAGGAAUACAUCGAAACUUAUUUUUCGGUGGGGGAAACCGUGGGGAAAUUACGCUAAUACCCGAUACGACCUUCGGGUGAAAGCCAGGGAACUUCGGACCUUUGGCGAUUGAAUGAGCCGAUGUCGGAUUAGCUAGUUGGCGGGGUAAAGGCCCACCAAGGCGACGAUCCGUAGCUGGUCUGAGAGGAUGAUCAGCCACACUGGAACUGAGACACGGUCCAGACUCCUACGGGAGGCAGCAGUGGGGAAUAUUGGACAAUGGGCGCAAGCCUGAUCCAGCCAUACCGCGUGGGUGAAGAAGGCCUUCGGGUUGUAAAGCCCUUUUGUUGGGAAAGAAAAGCAGCAGGUUAAUACCCCGCUGUUCUGACGGUACCCAAAGAAUAAGCACCGGCUAACUUCGUG